RNAcentral lists this ribosomal RNA (449 nucleotides) under uncultured bacterium. RNAcentral's name for it is "partial 16S ribosomal RNA". It matches the Rfam family "Bacterial small subunit ribosomal RNA", at positions 29 to 523 of the family's 1533-position model. The record is from RNAcentral.
AACGAACGCUGGCGGCAUGCCUAACACAUGCAAGUCGAACGAGAUCUUCGGGUCUAGUGGCGCACGGGUGCGUAACGCGUGGGAAUCUGCCCUUUGGUUCGGAAUAACAGUUGGAGACGACUGCUAAUACCGGAUGAUGACGAAAGUCCAAGGAUUUAUCGCCAGAGGAUGAGCCCGCGUAGGAUUAGCUAGUUGGUGUGGUAAAGGCGCACCAAGGCGACGAUCCUUAGCUGGUCUGAGAGGAUGAUCAGCCACACUGGGACUGAGACACGGCCCAGACUCCUACGGGAGGCAGCAGUGGGGAAUAUUGGACGAUGGGCGAAAGCCUGAUCCAGCAAUGCCGCGUGAGUGAUGAAGGCCUUAGGGUUGUAAAGCUCUUUUACCCGGGAUGAUAAUGACAGUACCGGGAGAAUAAGCUCCGGCUAACUCCGUGCCAGCAGCCGCCGCCG